This 743-nucleotide long non-coding RNA is filed under the name Capsicum annuum. RNAcentral describes it as "long non-coding RNA (CANN_LNC001280)". The record is from RNAcentral. Lineage: Eukaryota; Viridiplantae; Streptophyta; Magnoliopsida; Solanales; Solanaceae.
UGGACCCUUAAACCCACUAAAAAGCAACAUUUUAAACACUUUUUUGAUGAGUGUAACACACUCGCCCCACGCCGGCUUUCACGUCAGCUUCCACGUUAUUUUAAAUACUACAUGAAAUUCUACAUCAUUUUUAAAAUGCCACAUAAGAAAUGAAAUAUUAAAAAAUAAAUUAAGAAUUAAAAAAUAAAUAAAAAUUAAAAUGAAUUUAAGUCUUCUAUCUUCUCUAUCUCUCUUCUUCAUCUUCCUUCUCCAUCUUCUCUCUUCUCUUUCUGUCCACUCUCACUUCUCCAUUUCUCCACAGCCGUACCACCGCUACCGGUGUGACAACAAUCCAUUAACAUGCUGCUAUCACCUACCACCAGUGUAAACCCCACCAUCCUUCACCAUUUGUGUAUUGGUUACAAAUUAACCAUCAAUAUUAACACCAAAAAAACCAACAUUAUCUUUUGUAUGUGUGUUGGUUAAAGAUUUAAAAUGUGUGGGAUGUGAAAAAUGUAGAUAAAAGAUGGUGGUGAAAGAUGAACGAUGGAUGGUUCGUGAAGGGUUCGUCGUCAUCGUCGUCGGUCAUGGCAGCCUUGAGGCUCUAAUGGCUAUGGCAGCCCUUUCUAACUCAGAUUUUCUAAAUCAACAAUUUUUUUUAUUUUCUUGAUUUUGUAGAUCACGAUAGGAAACAAUUAAGAUUUCUUGUUCUGUUGAUUGUUUGAUUUACAAAUCACAGAACUUUAGAUGAUUUUUUGUUCACA